AGACGGAAGCGACCAGGCGCGUCCCAUGACAUCACUUCCGUCAAAACAACUUCGGCUCCGACUUAUUUGAAACUCACUCAAUCUGACGUCUCAUUCCAAACACGUAUUUAUUCAUAGUCAAAUGCUUUAACGAAGUAAGGCGACUCAUGAUUUGUGUCAUGAGCGCCUGCAAAAAUUUAGCUCCCACCUGUCAGUAGUUGCAGCACCAAAUGUCGUUUUUCAAAUGCAGGUCCGGUAUAUCCUGAACAAAAGACAAGAAGAACAUGGAAGUGGCUGUGAAAGGAAGGGCCAAGAGGAGGCAUUUGAAUGCAGACGAACUGCAAGAAAGCGAAACAGGUCUCGAAGCUCUCAUCAACCCUCAAAACUUCAGCAGAAGCGAAAGCAGCACUUCCGGUCUGAACCCGAGGACUACCAAGAGACGGAACUGUGCAUCAGUCACCUCCGGUGCAGAAAACUGCUUUCCCACAUGCGCAAAUGGACUCAAUGAUGAACCGGAAGAUGAGAUCAGUUUGGGUGAGGACUGGUUGCCCACAGACCUCGAAGAGGAGCCUGAAAUUAACACCAUGGACUACUUAGAAGGAAUAACGGCGGACAUGUUUGAAGAUGAGUUCGACUGCGCUGACAAAUUGGUGCACGAGGAGCCGGAGGCGGAAGCCCUGCCGGACGCCGCCUACGGGCUCCUGGGCAGCACCAAUGAUCUGCUGCAGCCUCAGGGUUGUAUUGACGACCUCCCAGAGGAGGUGCUCAGGCAGGUUCUCAGCCUCGUUCCUGCUCGAGACCUGUACAGGAGCGCCAAACUCGUGUGCCACCGCUGGCGCGACAUCAUUGAGGAUGCCACGUUUAUGCCGUUCAAGAAGAGAUACUAUCGCUACCUGAUGCACGAAGAGGUUACAGUGGCGGAGGUCACCUCCUCAUUGAUCGAGAGCGGCGUCAUGAAGCCAUCAAUGUCACAACACAGCAUCCGGAACCUCGUUAUUUCAAUGGCGCGCCACAAGUUCGGCGAGAGGGUGGAUCCGACCAAAGCUCUGGAGCAUGUGAAGAAACAUCGCUUUUUUCCCCAGGCGGAGGCCUCCAUCAGAUUACGCAUUCGGAAUGUUCCCAAGUGCCAAAAUCUGAAUAUUGAGGGCCCCAACCCGUUUGCAGUCAUGGCGGUGAUAUUACUCCUCAGUGAGAGCGUCGACGACGUGCAAGCUUUGGUGAUGUUGCUGAACGGCUGCAUGUCGUACGGCGCCAUCACCGAGUUCCUCAGUCACAUGGCCACGACGCUGCUCGCCGCCGUGAGGAACAAGGUGAAGAUUAGCGAGAGGUUGCAUUACAACAUCUACUAUGUUCUUCACCUGAGGGAGAACGGCCCCUUUUCUGUUAGCUCCUCGAACGACAGGGCCUCACGCAUGAACAUGACCUCGGAGCAGCUGCACAUCCUCAGCCACGAUAUUCAGCAAGACCACGUGGUGAAGAUUGUCGCUUUUGCAGGUACGGGGAAGACGACCACGCUGAUCAAGUACGCCGAGCAGAAGCCGCACCUUCGCUUCCUGUAUGUGGCAUUCAACAAGUCGGUGGCGUACGAGGCCUCGCAACGCUUCCCGCCCAACGUAGACUGCAAGACUGUCCACUCGCUGGCCUACAAGGACGUUGGGAAAAUGUACCAAAAGAAGCUCACCUCUAAUCUGACCCCAUUCUCCAUCAACACGGUCCUGCCCAAAGGCCGAGGCGGGUACGCCAAGGCCAAAGUGGUAGCCACGACCCUCAAAAGCUUCAUGGCUUCCGUUGACGAGACCAUCGGCGUGAGCCACGUGCCGAGCGUGCAAGUGAGCCUUCAAGGCCUCAAGAAGUACAUAACGGAAGAAGAAAAACAGUUAUUUGUUGAAGAUGCAAGGAACAUUUGGAAUAAAAUGAAGGACCUCAAUGAGACGAAAGGCUAUUCCAUGACUCACGACGGUUACCUGAAGUUAUGGCAGCUCCAAACGCCAAAGGUCUGCCUCUCCGACCAGUAUGAUGUCAUUCUCAUCGACGAAGCCCAGGACAGCACUCCGCCCGUCAUGGACGUGCUGUUGAUGCAGAGGUGUGGCAAAAUGCUGGUGGGAGAUCCCCACCAGCAGAUUUACUCCUUCAGAGGAGCCGUUAACGCAUUGCAAACUGUGGAGCACACGCACAUCUACUACCUAACGCAGAGUUUCCGCUUUGGCGCCGAGAUCGCCUACGUGGGGGCCAGCAUCCUCACAGUGUGCAAGAAAGUCCAGAAAAUUCUCAUUGGAGGAAGGCAGAAAGGGGGCGUGUUUGAUGAAAAAUCCGCCCAGGCUCGAGAGGAUGUGGCCAAUGGCAAGAGUCCCAGUCAGGGAAACACAGCCAUCUUGUUCAGGUGCAAUCUUGGCGUGUUCAGCGAAGCCGUGCGGCUGAUCGAGGCCAACGCAAAGUGCAGCAUCCACUUCAUAGGCGGCGAGGACAACAUUGGCUUGAAUAAGAUCAAGGAUAUUUGGUACCUAAUGGAAGACAAAGAGAACCGCAAACUGAUCAGGGACCACCUCAUUGCAUCGUUUGCAAAACUCGAAGGGAACUCCUUUGAGGUGCUGAAACUCUACGCCCACAAGACCGAGGACCGCGACCUGGAGGCCAAGCUCACAAUUGUGGCCAAAUACACAAGCCGCAUCCCUGAUCUGGUGAAGAGCCUGAGGAGGCACUCGGAGGUCAACGUUAAAAAAGCAGACUUCAUACUUGGCACAGUCCACAAAGCCAAAGGCCUGGAAUUUGAAAUUGUGAUGGUCAGCGAUGACUUUGUCACCGUUCCCUGUUCCCGACACAACCACCACCACUUUAACGACUUUGCUUUUUGUAAAAUCCCCAGCGAUGAAUGGAACCUGCUCUAUGUGGCGGUAACUCGCGCUAAAACGACGCUGAUCAUCACACGGAGCAUCCGCCGCAUCAUCACGCAGACUGGCGAGUACUUCUUGAAGUCGGUGAUGCCCAGCGCGCCGUUGAAAGCUGGAGAGACGCCGCCGUGCCUCGUUUCCGCCUGUCCCAACUGCAUCACGCCUGGCGUUGCUUUCAUGAUGUGGAGAAGACAGAUGACCUAUACGACCGGCCUGUCUCACGAGGGUGCGCUGUGCGAGAGGUGUGUGUGGACUCGCGUGGGACCAAUCGCUUACCUCAUGACCGACGACGUGCUCUCCAUGGCUGAAGUUCCAGAGCGCGUCGACCAGCACUUAUUCCACGUUAUUUUCCAUGCACCGUUAUGAUUGAAAUUUCUUUCUGUAACAGAAAAUUUCCUGAUUCGGUUUAUUUUAACACUUGUGCAUUCCCAUACUUGGGGUCGACAGUAACUCCGAGACGCCACAAGAUGGCGACAAAGAAUUAUGAGCCGAUAGCGCGGCAUGUCAACUGGCCAAAGCGUCAACAUUCCCUCCUUGUCAACGAGACGCCACAAGACGGUGGCAACAAAUUAUGAGCCUUUAGCGCUACAUGUCACCUGGCCAAAGCGUUAACAUUCCCUCCUUGUCUACGUCGUCUGACUUUUCGCUCGUCAAAAUCAAAUAUUAGUUCUCGAACUAUGUCGUCCAUUUUUUGCGACGCGACAGAAAUGCUGGCUAUGCAGGGACCGCUGAUGUAGGCCAAUUUAACCGUUUAGUAGUGAUGGAGAAAUAAAGUCCUAUUGUGGUUAUACUGUGUAUCAUUCAUAGGAUGACAAAACAAUUAACUACCGACGUUCCAUAUUUAAACAGUUUUUUUAAACUACAUGUAUUGCAAAUGCUUUCAAUUACCAUUCCGUCCACCUGUUGACUAGGAGAUGCCCUCGUGGGCAAGGUCUGGAGUGGUCACAUGAUUACGCACAUAGCGCAUUUCAUCCAAAUUGGGGAAAACCCCGCCCCCUCCCCUUUGAUUGGUUGGGGCGUCGUUGGGGUGUGGUUUUCUAAAGGUCACUUCGUAGCGCCCUUCUUACGUCGCUACCUCAGGGUUGGGCCCUUCAUUUUGGGCAUGUCUCGGGUACACAUCAUGAGGUAAAUUUAUGGCCCCUUUAUGAAUUAAACCACUUAUCCUGUUCAGACUGGUCGGUAAGACACCUCUACAUGACUCACGUGAGUCCACGCAAAUGAGCCACUGUCAAAAUAGGAAAAGUGACUUUUUGUAUUUUCUGCUUCAAAAUGGUAGUCUAUGAAAAUAGCAAUUUAUUGUUGCCAGUAGAAUAUUAGCAAAGGGUAGUUCAAGGCGUUGUACAAUUACAGAGAAGUGAUGUAAACACUUACAAGUACAACACUUGCAUGACACGCUGACAGAAUG
Hippocampus zosterae (dwarf seahorse) is the source of this 4272-nucleotide RNA transcript. It is a transcript of the gene named F-box DNA helicase 1, with no coding region annotated. The record is from RefSeq and is a predicted model, not a curated record. NCBI's taxonomy places the organism in Eukaryota, Metazoa, Chordata, Actinopteri, Syngnathiformes, Syngnathidae. The transcript is spliced from 22 exons.